This 299-nucleotide ribosomal RNA is filed under the name Cardiochiles sp. 3 NM-2007. RNAcentral describes it as "partial 16S ribosomal RNA". The record is from RNAcentral. Lineage: Eukaryota; Metazoa; Arthropoda; Insecta; Hymenoptera; Braconidae.
AUUAAAUAGCUGCAGUAUAUAUAACUGUACAAAGGUAGCAUAAUCAUUAGUUUAUUAAUUAUAAACUGGUAUGAACGAUUUAAUGAAAUAAAAACUGUUUCAAAUUAAUAAAAUAAAUUUUUUUUUUAAGUAAAAAAACUUAAAUAAAAUUAAAAGACGAGAAGACCCUUUAGAAUUUUAUAUUUAAUUGGGGAGAUUUUAAAAUUUAAUGAACUUUUAAUUAAAUAAACAAUAAUUUUUGAAUAAAAUAUAUUUUUUUAAAAAAAUUAAACUAAAUUACCUAAGGGAUAACAGCAUAA